This 300-nucleotide ribosomal RNA is filed under the name uncultured Branchiibius sp. RNAcentral's name for it is "bacterial SSU rRNA". The stretch from base 53 to 300 matches the Rfam family "Bacterial small subunit ribosomal RNA", at positions 547 to 795 of the family's 1533-position model. Lineage: Bacteria; Bacillati; Actinomycetota; Actinomycetes; Micrococcales; Dermacoccaceae. The record is from RNAcentral.
GGUGAUGGAGUGGGGGGCGCUGGCGGGAAUAGAUAGGUGGGAAGGGGGAAUCGGUGUUACUGGUGGUAAAGCGUGUGUAGGUGGUGGGUAAAGGCGAGUGGGAAAGCCCCGGGCUUAACUCGGGAACUGCUUUGGAUACUGUCUGACUAGAAUUCGGUAGAGGGAGGCGGAACUCCAGGUGUAGCGGUGAAAUGCGUAGAUAUCUGGAAGAACACCAAUGGCGAAGGUAACCUCCUGGGCCUGAAUUGACACUGAGACACGAAAGCGUGGGGAUCAAACAGGAUUAGAACCCCGGUAGUC